UUCAGGUUCGCGCUGUCGCAGAGCGUAAUCCCAGGUUUCUACAUAAACCCACGCUCCUUAAACCCUGAUUUUACAGCAACAUUGCCCCCAGCUCUCUGAAUCUUCUCGGGGGAAGAAGGGAAAUGAAUCGCCGAGCUGCGGAGGCGCUGGUUUCGGUUCGUGACGGGUCGAGCUUGUCCAGGUUCUUUGGGUUCUCCGAUUCUUCUGCAUUGCUUGCUUUGGUCACCAUUUCCUGUGCAUUUCAUUCUUUUUCCCUUCUGGGUUUUUUGAAUGAUGAUGCAUUUAAUUUCAAAUUUCUCUUUUUUAUUUAUGCCCGGAAAAUUGGCGGGUAAGAAGAGCAAAGUGGUUUCCUCAAGCCCACGACUUUGCAUUCGGUUCGCACGAUGUGUCGUCGAUUUGAGACUCAACACAUUCGCCCGCCAUAGCUUUUUUUAAAAAUGAAUUGUGCUUCUUUGACCACUAUGGCAAUGGAGAAUUCGAAGGUGUGGGUGACUCAGUGGGAUUUCUGAGGUACGUAGACUCGUUUACGGCUAGUUGUGUAACUGUCGUACGACAAUUUUAAGAUUGUGUUACGAGGUUCUUGUGCUUAAUAAGGGACCUAGUAAUUUUGUACGGUUCACGCCAUAUACGGUAGAAGUGCCUGGGAUUCCGUAGCUUCUUUGAUGAAAAAAUAGAGCUUUGGUGUAGAUUAUGGACUAUGGACUAUGGACUAAUCAGGGAUGGCAUGGUAUGGCCUCGCUAUGCUGAGCAAAAUCUGAGAUCGAUUGGGUCAAAUAGUUGGAAUUAAUGAACUCAUAGCUUGAAAGUUGUUCGUGUUCCAAACUUCUUUUUGGCAAGUGGUUAGUUUCUUAUGAUGGCUUCGGGGGCAACCAGCGUCUCAUUCGUGUUUUUUUGUUCAUUUAUUAUCAUAAGAGAGUGACUCUUUUCUUCCUUAAAACUCCAUCAGGAGUCCAUCGUUAAGCUGCGUGCUCUGGUUCUCUUCGAUCCAGGUGAGCCUGAACUCCGUCAAGGCCAGUGAGCUCGCGGCUCGCCAGAUCCAAGCGAGCCCAAGCUUGGCCAAGGCCGCGAGCCUGAGCUCCGCCGAGGCCAGCGAGCUUGCGGCUCGCCUGAGGCCAACGAGCUCAGGAUCGGCGACGAAGAUGGCAGCAUGAUGGCGGGGUAGGCGGUGGCUGCAAUUGGUUGGGAUUGGAAAGGAAAUGGGGUGCUCUGCUCAUCCAAAGAUUUGCAAUCGAUGGAAGGAAGAGAGAAUUGAGGAGGCAGAGAAGGAAGGGCAUGGGUUCAAACUCUACUAAUGUAUGAUCCAUAGGGAUAUCAAAUCCAGUAAUACCAUGCUCGAUGAAAAGUUUGUGGCCAAAUUGGGAGAUUUUGGCUUGGCUAGGCUAGUUGACCAUGCCAAUGGUGAAAAACAACCCAAGUGAUAGGAACACACGGUUACACGGCUCCGGAAUACCAUCAGACAAGUGAGGCAAGUAUGGAAUUUGACAUCUACUGUUUUGGAGCGGUCCUUCUAAAAAUAGUAUGUGGGAGAAGAGUCUUCGACUCAGAAUUAGCGGAGCAAAGCCAAGGCCUUGUACAGUUGGUUUGGAAGCGUUAUGGAUGCAGGAGCUGGAGUGGGCGCUGGCGCUGGCGCAGGAAUUUUCUCCGUGCGAUGGACAAGAGGCUCGGCAAGGAUUUCGACAAGUGACAGGCGGAGUUCUUGAUGAUUGCGGCUGUGGUGUGCUCAUCCCGAUGCUAGGUAUCGGCCUUCGAUUGAAGAGGCAAUAGCCAUUUUGAACUUGAAGGCAGAGCCUCCUAAACUCCCCUCGAAGAUGCCAAGUUUCAACAUAUAAUUGAGCCAAAGUCUCGUCUCGUCUAGAUGCAUUUGGCUUUCGGCAAAUGCCUCGCUCUGAAAAGAAAUAAGUGUUGUCUAUUUAAGUGUGAUGUAUAUGAAAAUCAUCGAGCUAGAGGUAAUUACUGAAAAGCUGUUGUACUCGCCUUUGUCACCCAUUACUGGUAGUAUGGUGUACGGUACUUAAAAAAUUUAUUUAUGUUAGAUCAUGUCAAAAAGCUUCAUUUCAA
Eucalyptus grandis is the source of this 2058-nucleotide long non-coding RNA. RefSeq lists it as uncharacterized. NCBI's taxonomy places the organism in Eukaryota, Viridiplantae, Streptophyta, Magnoliopsida, Myrtales, Myrtaceae. The record is from RefSeq and is a predicted model, not a curated record. The transcript has 2 exons.